UCCUGGCUCAGAUUGAACGCUGGCGGCAUGCCUUACACAUGCAAGUCGAACGGCAGCGGACCUUCGGGUGCCGGCGAGUGGCGAACGGGUGAGUAAUGCAUCGGAACGUGCCAUUGAGUGGGGAUAACGUAGCGAAAGUUACGCUAAUACCGCAUAUUCUGUGAGCAGGAAAGCAGGGGACCGCAAGGCCUUGCGCUCUUUGAGCGGCCGAUGUCAGAUUAGCUAGUUGGUGAGGUAAAGGCUCACCAAGGCGACGAUCUGUAGCGGGUCUGAGAGGAUAAUCCGCCACACUGGAACUGAGACACGGUCCAGACUCCUACGGGAGGCAGCAGUGGGGAAUUUUGGACAAUGGGCGCAAGCCUGAUCCAGCCAUGCCGCGUGAGUGAAGAAGGCCUUCGGGUUGUAAAGCUCUUUCAGCCGGGAAGAAAACGCAUGGGUUAAUACCCUGUGUGGAUGACGGUACCGGAAUAAGAAGCACCGGCUAACUACGUG
RNAcentral lists this ribosomal RNA (492 nucleotides) under uncultured bacterium. RNAcentral describes it as "bacterial SSU rRNA". It matches the Rfam family "Bacterial small subunit ribosomal RNA", at positions 17 to 507 of the family's 1533-position model. The record is from RNAcentral.